RNAcentral lists this ribosomal RNA (446 nucleotides) under uncultured bacterium. Its description in RNAcentral is "partial 16S ribosomal RNA". It matches the Rfam family "Bacterial small subunit ribosomal RNA", at positions 338 to 795 of the family's 1533-position model. The record is from RNAcentral.
CCUACGGGUGGCAGCAGUCGAGAAUCAUUCACAAUGGGGGAAACCCUGAUGGUGCGACGCCGCGUGGGGGAAUGAAGGUCUUCGGAUUGUAAACCCCUGUCAUGUGGGAGCAAAUUAAAAAGAUAGUACCACAAGAGGAAGAGACGGCUAACUCUGUGCCAGCAGCCGCGGUAAUACAGAGGUCUCAAGCGUUGUUCGGAAUCACUGGGCGUAAAGCGUGCGUAGGCUGUUUCGUAAGUCGUGUGUGAAAGGCGCGGGCUCAACCCGCGGACGGCACAUGAUACUGCGGGACUAGAGUGAUGGAGGGGGAACCGGAAUUCUCGGUGUAGCAGUGAAAUGCGUAGAUAUCGAGAGGAACACUCGUGGCGAAGGCGGGUUCCUGGACAUUAACUGACGCUGAGGCACGAAGGCCAGGGGAGCGAAAGGGAUUAGAUACCCGAGUAGUC